GAUGAACGCUGGCGGCGUGCCUAAUACAUGCAAGUCGAGCGAAAGGACCAGAAGCUUGCUUUUCUUAUUUUAGCGGCAGACGGGUGCGUAACACGAGGAUAUCCUAAAUAUACGAAUGGGAUAACUUCAGGAAACCGGAGCUAAUACCAAAUAAUAUUUUGAUCCGACUGGUUCAAAAGAGAAAGACGGUCUUUCUGUCACUUAUAGAUGGAUCCGCGCUGCAUUAGCUAGUUGGUAAGGUAACGGCUUACCAAGGCAACGAUCCAUAGCCGAUCUGAGAGGGUGGUCAGCCACACUGGAACUGAGACACGGUCCAGACUCCUACGGGAGGCAGCAGUAGGGAAUCUUCCGCAAUGGGCGGAAGCCUGACGGAGCAACGCCGCGUGAGUGAUGAAGGUCCUCGGAUCGUAAAACUCUGUUAUUAGGGAAGAACAUAUGUGUAAGUAACUGUUCACAUCUUGACGGUACCUAAUCAGAAAGCCACGGCUAACUACGUG
RNAcentral lists this ribosomal RNA (497 nucleotides) under uncultured bacterium. RNAcentral's name for it is "partial 16S ribosomal RNA". It matches the Rfam family "Bacterial small subunit ribosomal RNA", at positions 28 to 507 of the family's 1533-position model. The record is from RNAcentral.